Molecule: ribosomal RNA, 301 nt
Filed under: uncultured bacterium
Lineage: Bacteria
Description: partial 16S ribosomal RNA
Rfam family: Bacterial small subunit ribosomal RNA
Source: RNAcentral
CAGCAGCCACGGUAAUACAGAGGGUGCGAGCGUUAAUCGGAUUUACUGGGCGUAAAGCGUGCGUAGGCGGCUUUUUAAGUCGGAUGUGAAAUCCCUGAGCUUAACUUAGGAAUUGCAUUCGAUACUGGGAAGCUAGAGUAUGGGAGAGGAUGGUAGAAUUCCAGGUGUAGCGGUGAAAUGCGUAGAGAUCUGGAGGAAUACCGAUGGCGAAGGCAGCCAUCUGGCCUAAUACUGACGCUGAGGUACGAAAGCAUGGGGAGCAAACAGGAUUAGAGACCCGAGUAGUCCCCUGUCUCUUAUA